UCUAAACUGCAUGUUUCUAUUUUGCUUCAGGUGCAUUGUUUCUUUUCAUUGAAUUGUAAAUAAUUUUAUUGAAUUGCAAUAAUGUAAAUGUAUUGCAUACAGCUUAAUGUAAUGAACUCCUAAUGAAGUGAAAAGAUAAAACUGUGUAUAUAAUUUUGAUUUCUAAAAUUAUUUUUUCUUAGCUUUAGAACGUGUGGAUGAAGAUAAAGUGUAUAUUCUUGGUGGUUUAGUGGAUGAAAGCAUACAAAAGAAAAUAAGUUACAAAAGAGCGAAAGAGCUUGGAGUCCACACAGUGAGACUGCCUAUUGAUGAAUACAUGGUGAAGAAGUCCAACCCCAAAAACUUCCACUCCAAAAUUUUGGCAAUCAACCAAGUGUUUGAGGUCUUGCUGGCUUUUUGUGAGACCAAAGAUUGGACUACAGCUCUUGCUUCUGGUAUCCCACCUGGAAAGGGUUACGUGGUGACUUCACUGAUGUCCUCAGAGGUUGGACAAUGAUUGGCCCUCCAGAGCAGCAGGAAAUCAGUGACAUUCUUUGGUCACCCAGAGUUUGAGGCCAUGACCAAUGCAAAGUGACCAUGUUUGCACAGUAUAUUUAUUACAUAGUCACCGUAACUGUAUUACAGUAUGCCUGCCGUGUUUGUCAGGGUGGAGGUGUUACUUGAAUUGCUAAUAUUUAAAAUAUUUUGCUGUAUCUUUUGUUUACCAUUUUUACUUGAUUCUCAGGAAUAGUUUACAUACAAAAUGUCUAUUAACUCAACAUUUGUUGAGCGUUAAAUAAAGCUAUUGAAUCAUAACACUGAUGUUCUAAUGUCUUG
Long non-coding RNA from Triplophysa rosa, 816 nucleotides. RefSeq lists it as uncharacterized. The transcript has 3 exons. NCBI's taxonomy places the organism in Eukaryota, Metazoa, Chordata, Actinopteri, Cypriniformes, Nemacheilidae. The record is from RefSeq and is a predicted model, not a curated record.